Molecule: ribosomal RNA, 465 nt
Filed under: uncultured bacterium
Lineage: Bacteria
Description: partial 16S ribosomal RNA
Rfam family: Bacterial small subunit ribosomal RNA
Source: RNAcentral
UUCCAGACUCCUACGGGAGGCAGCCGUGCGGAAUAUUGGUCAAUGGCCGGACUUCUGAACCAGCCCCUUCUCGUGAGGGCCGCCUGCCCUAUGGGUUUUCAACCUCUUUUCUCCGGGAAGAAUCCCUGCUACGUGUCUCCUUAUGCCUGUCCCUUCUGGAUAAUCCUCUUCUAACUCCUUGCCCGCAGCCGCUUUCCUACGGAGGCUGCUCUCGUUAUCCGGAUUUAUUGGGUUUAAAGGGUGCGUAGGCGGGGUUUUAAGUUAGGUGUUAAACGUCGGGGCUUCACCUUGAUUUGCCAUUAAUACUGUAAGACUCGAGUUCAGACGAGGGAGGCGGAAUAAGUUAAGUAGCGGUGAAAUGCUUAGAGAGAAAUUAGAACGCCGAUAGCGAAGGCAGCUUACCAGACUGCGACUGACGCUGAAGCACGAGAGCGUGGGGAGCGAACAGGAUUAGAUACCCUAGUA